RNAcentral lists this ribosomal RNA (436 nucleotides) under uncultured bacterium. RNAcentral describes it as "bacterial SSU rRNA". It matches the Rfam family "Bacterial small subunit ribosomal RNA", at positions 954 to 1392 of the family's 1533-position model. The record is from RNAcentral.
GCAUAACGCGAAGAACCUUACCUAGGCUUGACAUGCAUCUCUAAGCGCGUGAAAGCGCGUGACCCUUCGGGGGAUUUGCACAGGUGCUGCAUGGCCGUCGUCAGCUCGUGUCGUGAGAUGUUGGGUUAAGUCCCGCAACGAGCGCAACCCUUGUGAACAGUUGCCAGCACUUAAGGUGGGAACUCUGUUCAGACUGCCCAGAUCAACUGGGAGGAAGGUGGGGACGACGUCAGGUCAGUAUGGCCCUUACGCCUAGGGCUGCACACGUACUACAAUGCCCAGCACAAUGAGAACCGAGACCGCGAGGUAGAGGAAAUCUAAAAACUGGGCCCAGUUCGGAUUGGAGGCUGCAACUCGCCUCCAUGAAGUUGGAAUCGCUAGUAAUGGCGCAUCAGCUACGGCGCCGUGAAUACGUUCCCGGGUCUUGUACACACCG